This 21-nucleotide non-coding RNA is filed under the name Arabidopsis thaliana (thale cress). The record is from RNAcentral. Lineage: Eukaryota; Viridiplantae; Streptophyta; Magnoliopsida; Brassicales; Brassicaceae.
GCCCAGACACUCGCCGCCCGG